RNAcentral lists this long non-coding RNA (5349 nucleotides) under Citrus maxima (pomelo). Its description in RNAcentral is "long non-coding RNA (CMAX_LNC001995)". Lineage: Eukaryota; Viridiplantae; Streptophyta; Magnoliopsida; Sapindales; Rutaceae. The record is from RNAcentral.
UGAAAAUUACAAGGCAAAAACUCUUAAGUCUAAACUAAUCUGAUUAACGAGAAGGCAAAAACAUAGUUAAUUAAGAUUGAAGGAGAAAGAAAAUACUUACACAAUGCGCUGAGGAUUCCAGAGGAUGGAAUAGGUGUGAAAAGCAGCAGAGGGGUCAAACCAGAGGUGAAAUUGUUGUUCUCUGUCACCUUUACCAUUUGUGAAUACAUUUGUGUGAAGAGUAUAAGGGUCACCACUUAAAUUUCCCAAGAAUUCAAAGUCUAUCUCAUCCCAUGUGGAUCCCGGUGAUUUUAACUGCAUGGAAAAGAAAAGCCUAAGUAUCAGCAUGCAUGAUGAUCAUAGCUAGCUAUAUAUUUUGCAUAAAUAGCUGCGUUUUCAUUGAUUUCUAAAAAAGGGAGGAACUUACAUAAUAAGCAGUGACAGUACCAGCAGAGUUGCCAGGGACAAGCUUAAGCUGCAUGUCAAUCUUGCCAUAUAGAUACUCAUUCAUGGACUGGAAUCCUGAGCCAGAGGCUUUAUCAAGGGACAGAGUAAGAAGCUGGCCGUUGUUGAGUAUCUUCGCACGCCCAUCUCCCCAAGUGAUGUCAAAAUCUUUGUAGAAGCUACCAGCAGAGGCAACCAUCAAAGUUCCAAGCACUAGAAACAAAUGCAACAUUGAAGCCAUUGAUAUAUGCUUUGAAAUGAGCAAUAACAAGAUAGAAGUACUAUUCGUAAAUUGAAAUUGGAAACUGAAGUGAUGAAUGUGUUUAUGUCCUCACCAGGGUUUGGUUUUUAUAAGUUUGAUUCAGCUAAGCAGAGGAAAGUGACGGGAAGGCCCACUGAGGUGGGCUGCGGCCAGUUGUUUGGAUGAGAAAAGUGCAAUAAAAUAGCUGUGCAUGUAGCGUUAACAAACAUGAUCAAAACCAGGACAUUUUUUUAUUAUUAUUACGCGGUUUUGCAUUAUUUUUUCAGAGACCGAUGUAAUUGUCUCGUUGCUCCCCUAGUGCACAUCACCAGCUAAGUCUUAGAUUUUCCAACAACCACCAUUAAGAACAGUAUAAGGCAAACACGCAAAAUUACGAUUUUAAAAGUUAAAAAGGGGGGUAAAAGCAAAGCCAAAAAAAAAGUUGAAUUGACUUUCCGAGGCCUUCAUUAUUUUAUUUUUGUUCAUUUAUUGUAGUUAUAUUACAAAAAAAAAUAGUACUAUAAUUAAAAAUCCAUCAGAAUUAUGUCCGAGUCAGCUCGCAAUUUUUCCCCUUUUCCAAACAGAGAAAUUUUUUAACUCCCAUCUUAUAUCUUCUAGACUGUGACCAAAUUUUCGUUGGGCUGAUGAAAAUAGCGAUAUUAUCUUGUACAAGCUUUGCUUCCUGUCGUUUUCCUUUACAACAAAUCGGAAUAUUAUAUCUUACUUUUUAGUUUUUCAACAACUUUACGUGCAAAUAUGGAAGAUGUAAUAACAAGUUGCAAGUUGCUCCUUGUCGGCAUUCAAUGAGCUAGGCAAGCUGUAAAAUUGGCCCAUGAAUUAAUAAUCAGAUUAAUUAUGGAGAAGAGUGAAUUCAGAGUUCAACUUUUACUUGGCUAUUAACACUUGAACCAAGUUUUUCCAGCUCACCUCCUAACAGCGAAGUUCACAAGUUUUAUAAGAAAGCUUUUUCUUGGGCAACCCAAUGAAAAGCAGACAAAAUCAUGAGAUCCCUCUAAUUAAUUAAAUUUAUUGCCACUUAAACAAUCUCUAAUGUUUGUUUUUUCAACCAUUUUGAUAGUGACCAUAUGGCACAUGCUAGUAAAAUUCUUGAAUAAAACAUUAUUAUACAACUUAAUUUGACAAUCUUAUUUAAUUCAAUGGUCGUUAUUAGUUAGUAUCAGAGAAAAACUGUGAAACAAGUGAGAUUUGCAAGGUUGAGAGGCUAAAAACUAAUUAUUCAAGCAAGCCUGAUAAAUAUGUGUAAUGAUAUUAAUUGAGUCUCAUAUCGCUAAAUUAAAACUUGGCACAUAAGCUUAUAAACACUUGAUAUCCCUCUUUUUACAAGCUGGAAGGCCAUCUUUACAGAUGGAGUAAAUUGUACAAGGCUACUACCCACCUCAUGUGCGUUUCAAAAAGUCACGUAGCUCAACCUAAGGGCUUGGACGUCGGUCUUGAAAGAAGGGUGGAUUGAAAGUUUGUAACGUUUCUAAUGGGUAAAUUUUGGCAUAACCCUUUCGUGAAGUGAUAAUUUUCAAAUUGUCAUUCCUGUUAUUGAAAACAUCAAAUUAUCUCUCAAAAAUCAUUAUUUGUCUGUUACUUUUAACGGCUAAAAGGGUAAAAAAAUAUUUGUACAUUCCUCUAACAAUCAAUAAACAAAAAAAAAAGUCAAACAUUUAUGCGGGUUAUUUUUUAUAGGCUAAAUCUUUUUAAGUUUUUCAAAACACAUACAAAUAUUUUAAAUAUUUAUGAUAUGCAUCCCUAAUAUUUUAAAAAUAUUUUUCAUUUUGCACCUAUAUGUCUAAUUUUGUUCGAACUGAUUAAAUUUUAAUUUUUUGUAUUUUAAAACUUUAUUUAUUUUAAAAAAUAAAUAAAGAAAUUAAUUAAAGUUAUCAAUGAAAAAAGAAUAAUAUUUUACAUAUUUUAUAUUUAUUAUUAUAAUCAUUAUUAUUCUUUUUUUCUUUUGCAAAGGUAUUUAAAAAAAUAUAUACAUAUAAUAAAAAUCAAAGAACAAAAGAAAAAUGCUACCACAGACUUAAUCUAAAGCUUCAAAACUCUUCUCACCAAAAACCACUAUCAUCGCACACAACCCAAAAUUCUUCAAACCCUUUGCUUAUUCACCAAACUGAAAAUAAUAAACAACAAUAAAGUAAAUUCAAUCUAUUAUUAAUAAUAUGGUUAAUUCAAUAUUAAAGAUUAUUCAUAAUCUAAAAUUAAGGAAUCCCAAAUAUCAAAUUACAACAAUUCCUAAUUUUCUAGUAACAGUAGCUCAAUUGAACGAACAAAAUAAAAAUUUGAAACAACAAUCCCAAACCUUAGAAACAAUCAUGGGUAGUCGCGAUGUUAAAAAGUUGUUGUAAGAUGAUGUCCACGACGACCUACAACUCCACGGCUGUCAUAGCCACGCCGUGGUCAUUCUCGAUUGGAAAAGAGCAAAAGAAGUAUGGGUCUUGACUGCUGAAUGGUUGUGAUAAGAGGAAAAUCAAUGACUCUCUUGACUGCCAAAGAAGAAGAAUUAAGACGAAGCUCUCGGCGAUGCCAUGGCAGUGCUUUCGCCUGAGAUUGUUGAGUUGAUUGAUUGUUCAUACAAUGAAUGACACGAUUAAAUCGACGGUGAGUUGUAUGGUUCUGCAGUGACAUUAAGGACGCAAAUAAUUCAGGUUUUGGUCGCCGAAUUUUGAGGAUUUUGAUGGUCUCUGUCAACACCCCUUUGCAAGUUAUAGAUUAUGACUUCUGGGUUUUGGAUUUUAGUUUGUAGAAAUUAAGUUUUAGUUUUGAUUCAUUGUAGGAUUGGAUUUGAAUAUUGAUUGUACUUUUGUCAUGCACUUGUAAAGGGAAAAAAAUGAAGAAAAAGAUGAAAAAGGAGUAAGGCAAAGAAAAAAAAAUGAAAGAAAAACUCAAAGGAUUAAGCAAGAGGAAAAAAAUGAAGAAAAAGACGAAGAAGAAGUAAGGAAGAUGAAAAAGAAAUGAAGAAGAGAAAUUCAAUGUUUCAUUUAUUUUUUUCAUUUUAAUAUUGAUUUUUAUUAUACCUAUGGACUAUAAAAUGUCUACAUAAGAAAACAAAUGGGUGAUGGAAUAUUUUAGAAAUUGUAAAGGGACAAAGGAAAUAUAUUUUUAAAUAGUAGGUGUGUAACAAUUUAAGUUAAUGAUUUUCGUUAUUAGCGGGCUAUAUUGUACUUUCACGAGUUAACGGCAGUCAAUAGUUAAAGAUAACGAGUUUUGAGGGGUAGCUUAAUAUUUUCAAAAGUAAGGAGAGCAAUUCACUUCAUGAAGGGGAUAGACCGAAAUUAACUCCAAUUCUAAUUGAGUCUCACAUCACUAAAAUUUGUUAUUCUAUUUAUGAGUCAAAUCUUCAUGUACGUAUUCUAGUCCACCUGCUAAGUUAAAAAGUUUGAAGGAUGGAUUCUAUCAAUUUUUGCAUAACAAUUUAUUAUUCUAAUCACUAUUGAUGUCAACGAUAUUCUUGGAUAUAUAUAAGCCAGUUCUACCUAAUGUGUGCAUCACAAUUUAUUAAUUUGUUUAGUAGUGAAAUCCGUGACCAUCGUGGUAUAGUCAAUUUAAUUUGACGAACCACAAAUAUUGCUCGUUAUUGUUUUGGAUUAUCCUCAUAUUGGCAUGUUAUUGUUGUGUGUACUAUUCUUUGUCAAUGAAGCAAAUUGCGUUUUUCUCAUCUCCCCCCCUCCCCCCCCCCCCCCCUGAUUAAAGUCCCAAGUAAGCAUGAGGGAGGUGUUAAUUUGAUCAUCAAUCUUGAUCGACAGGGAUUUCUUUUAAUGUCAAAAGUUCUUUACUUUUGUCAUAUAAAUUCAAGUUUACCAAGAGAUUUCUUUUGUCAACAGGCGAAAAAAAUCUAAAAAAUUAAGUUUACAAAGAAGGUAGUACGGAAAGAAAUAUUAUAUUACAAGACAUUUUAUAGUACAUGGUAAAAUGCGGCCAAUUUCGCCUUUGUGAUCGCCAAAUAAUCAAAGAAUCAAACGGCCCAAACUACAUACAUAUUGAAUAGCCGACUAACUACAACGAAUUAUCAAAUGAUAGACGCAUAUAUUUGUUGAUUUAGCAACUUCUCUAAGCGGUUCUGCAUUCUACAGGGAGACCCUGGGGAUAUCGCUUUGUGUCAGUGCAGUAAUUGUAAAUCAUGUAAUUCUGUUGCACCCACUUCAGCCUGUUUUGACUUGAUGAAUCAAGCUCCUGCGAAAACCAGGCUCUGCUUCUGGACCUAGAGGAAGCGCAAGAUGAUUUUCCAUUAGACCAGAGACAAGCAUCAGCUUUGAAGUUUCUGUAAGAAGCAGUGAAGGGAGCAUGUGUCCAAUCUGUCUUAACAAGGCCACCUCUCGUAGCCCAGUCAUCAGCAUUCCAAAGAGAAGAGUAUAUUCUCAUUGGCUGAUUCUUUGGGAAUGGCACUCCAAUUGAUUCUGAGUUUUUGAAUUCUCUUAUAGGUGUGCCAUCAACAGAGAAGCUGGAAAUUACAAGGCAAAAACUCGUAAGUCUAACUGAAUUGAUUAAUGAGAAGGCAAUUAGGCAAACAUAGUUAGGAUUUAAGGAAAAAGGAAAAUACUUACACAAUGCGCUGAGGAUUCCAGAGGAUGGAAUAGGUGUGGAAAGCAGCAGUGGGGUCAAACCAGAGGUGAAAUUGUUGCUCUCUGUUUCCUUUUCCAUUUGUGAAUACAUUCGUAUGAAGAGUAUAAGGAUCA